UGGAGCCUCAGGGCGGAACCGGAACCGGAGCCGGGAACUGCACGGCGACAGGUUGAACAGUUAACUUGAACAUAUCAGUGAGUAUGUGUAUAUAGAUUCGGGGGUCUCAAAGAUCUGGCCUUUUCGGUUUGUUCCACUGUUUGAGCCUCUUAGCUUAUGAUGGGGCUAUUUCUGAGAUCUGGGAUUUGAGGGUUGUCACUGUAUGUGUAUAUAGGUAGGUAUCAAGGCUUUCUAAGAAAUGGGUUCUAAUCUGAAUGCUGAAUUAUCAAAGAAAAUUCCAAUUUUUGGUCUUAAGGUUUGGGAAGUAAUUGGAAUUGCAGUUGGAUUGUCUAUUACAGUCAUCCUCUCUGCGCUCUCACGCUGCAUUCAAGUCUAUUGUGCAACCUGUCACCGUGUAGUUCUCGGCUCCACCA
Molecule: long non-coding RNA, 413 nt
Organism: Gastrolobium bilobum
Lineage: Eukaryota; Viridiplantae; Streptophyta; Magnoliopsida; Fabales; Fabaceae
Exons: 3
Source: RefSeq, a predicted model, not a curated record